AUCUUUACGCAGUGGCAAUAUCAUAGUCUAUUAGGUUUAUCCGAGAUGCGAUUAUUGCUAGUUGAAAACUUUACCCAAUACCCCGCCUUGCCGAUCUGAAAUAUAAUCGAUAAUGGCAGUCUUCGAUGGUCUCUCAGGAGA
This is a small nuclear RNA of Sphaeramia orbicularis (orbiculate cardinalfish), 141 nucleotides long. Its record names the gene U4. It matches the Rfam family "U4 spliceosomal RNA". Rfam says of the family: U4 small nuclear RNA (U4 snRNA) is a component of the major U2-dependent spliceosome. The structure of U4 snRNA from yeast and human has been reported. The record is from Ensembl. Lineage: Eukaryota; Metazoa; Chordata; Actinopteri; Kurtiformes; Apogonidae.